RNAcentral lists this unclassified non-coding RNA (255 nucleotides) under fungal sp. RNAcentral's name for it is "partial internal transcribed spacer region". The stretch from base 1 to 44 matches the Rfam family "Eukaryotic small subunit ribosomal RNA", at positions 1788 to 1831 of the family's 1831-position model. Lineage: Eukaryota; Fungi. The record is from RNAcentral.
GUCGUAACAAGGUAACCGUAGGUGAACCUGCGGUUGGAUCAUUAAAAAAAGACGAGCUUUAGAGCUCCCUUUCAACGCUAGUGUCUGCCUAAAAAACAGUCCUAGUCAACCCCUUGUGAACUGUUUUUAUUGUCUCUGAUGGGACCACUCCUUUGGAGUACUCGUCAGGGCAUUUAUUCAACCCCGUUUAUAAACAAUGUCUUAUUCAAAUAAUUUAAUUUGAAACAACUUUUGACAACGGAUCUCUUGGCUCUC